Beta vulgaris subsp. vulgaris (sugar beet) is the source of this 379-nucleotide long non-coding RNA. RefSeq lists it as uncharacterized. The record is from RefSeq and is a predicted model, not a curated record. Lineage: Eukaryota; Viridiplantae; Streptophyta; Magnoliopsida; Caryophyllales; Amaranthaceae. The transcript is spliced from 2 exons.
UUUCAUCCUCUGAUUCGUGCUGCUGUUGUUCGCGGUUGGUGGUUCUUUCUUCGCGCCACCUUGCCGUCGUCAGUGCUACUGUGUGCUUGGUGCUGCCGCCUAUCUAAGGUGAUCUUGUUGGUGAUUUUGUUGUUAUUAUUGUUGCUGCGUUGUUGCCGAAGCUUCGAAAAUCUCCCUCGACCUUUCUGUUUCUCGGUUCUUCUCUGUCUUCGCUGCUCCUAAUAGAGCAGAGUUUUCCUAAAUGUUUCAGGUUGAAGCCGAAAGUUAACCUUUGCAAGUUGAAGCUGAUACAAGCUGGAGUAGUAUUAUAGUUGCUAUCGAAGUGAGGACGCUUGACUUUGUAAUAGUUAGUUGUUUAUAAUCUAUAGUUAUUUCUACA